GUCAUGGAGGUGGUGCCCACCACCUGUAGUCCCAGCUACUCAGGAGGCUGAGGCAGGAGAGCACUUGAGCCCAGGAGUUCCAGGUUGUAGUGUGCUGUGCUGAUUGGGCAUUCACACUAAGUUCAGCAUCAGUAUGGUGAACUCCCAGGAGUGGGGCGCCAGCAGGUUGCCUAAAGAGGGAUGAACUGGCCCAGGUCAGAAACGGAGCAGGUCCAAACUCCUGUGCUGAACAGUAACGGUAUCACUGCACCUGUGAAGAGCCAGUGCACUGCAGCCUUGGCAACAUAGUGAGACCCCUUUUCU
Unclassified non-coding RNA from Cebus imitator (Panamanian white-faced capuchin), 303 nucleotides. It matches the Rfam family "Metazoan signal recognition particle RNA". Rfam says of the family: The signal recognition particle (SRP) is a universally conserved ribonucleoprotein. It is involved in the co-translational targeting of proteins to membranes. The record is from Ensembl. NCBI's taxonomy places the organism in Eukaryota, Metazoa, Chordata, Mammalia, Primates, Cebidae.